CAACUAUCUCUACAAUAAUACUAAUGUGCGGAUAUGCAAAUGAGCUCGCUCCGUUGAUAUCGGUCCGAUUACAUCUGAUAUCGGUCCGUUCCCAUCGAAAGUUCUUGCACGAACUCCGCAAAAACUGCUACACCCCUUGAACUGAGCUUCGGUAGUUCGGUUCCUAUGGGGUUGCGAUUGUGUGGAAAGGUCUCGAAUCUUCGUUUGCUCGCUUCCCUCGCUCCGAAUUUGCGACGUGUCUUCUCUCAAUGGGCCUUGCUCAACGAGGCCAUUUUCUUUGCUAACGCUUCGCUCUCUUUGUUUGUCUUUUCAAAGACUUUUUCUAGCGCUUUCCUGGAUGUUUUGAAAACGUCGAUUGUCAUCCAGUCAGUAGUUGUUGAUUGAAAACCUUGACCUUUGAUUCUAAAGCGAAUAUCCCUUUUCAUCCCCAACUUUUUUGAGAGAGAUCGAGUACCUUUUCAAAGGAUUUUUCAAAACAUUUCCUCCCUCUCUUUGAUGGGUAAAAUACUGGCUUUCGCGUUCGCGUUUCUAAAGGUUCUUUCUCUCUCUUUUCUCUUGCUCUCUACAAAAGGUUUCAAAACUUCUUCCUCCAGCAACCCUUCAAAUUGAACGAAGGCUUUUCAAAUUCGUUUCGCUUUCCACAAAGAAUCUACUGUGUGCCGAUAAUUUCGGUGAUUUGGAAUUGGAUGAUAAACCUACGUGCACUGCAGCUUGGCAUUCCUUUUCGAACUCGAAGCGGUUGUCGACGGUGUGUUCUGUGCUACAGUGCUACAGCUACAGCUACAGUAGCUAUGUUCACCCGCUGCUGCCCGUUUUUUUUGUUCUGCGAUGGCUGCUGGCUGUUCCCCUUCUUCACUGGCAUCAGAAUCGAUGGCAUGUGAAUACAGAUAAACGAUCGGAUUCGCUGUCUUUUUGGUACAACAAAUCAAAGAGCGUUUCAAGCAAUAAUUACGACGCAGACGUGUUUCUUGGACAUUCGAAACGAAAUUUAUGGCAUUUAUGCUGGCGUUAAAUCAAACGAUGAAACAAGAAAAAACUUGACUGUGGAGAAAAGGACUAAAGUUAUAUAAUAUAGAUUAGCUGUUGUCCGUAAAUUGUAUUUUGUUAAUUUGUUGUUAGAGUAAGAUUCCUUUCUGAUGCACGAAACUUGGCCGUUUUUUAUCUUUCUAUCUCUUAACUGCUUUGUUCCUGCAGUGUUUCAAAAGCUAAUUGUGACGAAGAUGUGAUAUGUGGACCUCAAAUGUAUAGAACUGCGUAAUAACUCUAUAACUCUUUAGAGUUUAGAAGAGGAGUCAUUAAUUCUUAAGAAAUUUUUAGAUGAUAUAUAUCUAAACGAGCACCAUGGACCAAUAACGGCUAACAGGAAUUUAUUGUUGGAAAACUUUAAUGUUUGAUUCAAAAUAAACAGAGGAAGUUUAAAGGUGGCCCCAAAUUAUACCUUAAAACAGCAUCACAAGUGAACAAGAAUUGAACGAAAUGCUCUGAUAAAGAUAUUCACGUUGGAUUCAAAAUGAACAUUACAGCUUUAAGAAUGGCCUUAGAAAAUAUUUUCAAGCGCCCUAUAAGUCGACGAGGGCUAAGAAUGUAUGAUUGGAAAACUCAAAAAUUUGAUUCUGACUAAAUAGGAGAAAUUAUAGGAUUAACUCAUGAAAAUGAUGGGGGCUGGCAGAAGUAUGUAGCUGUCAAGUUUAAAGUAGAAUUCAGAAUAUUAAACAAAGCUUUUAGAUAAGCCUGCAAGAUAUUUAAACGAGCACCACGAUUCACCGAGAGAUAAAAGAAAAUGGAAGUUUUAAAACAUUGCAAUUAGAAUAAGCAGGAGAAAUAAAGAGGGUAACCCGUGAAAGUAUUUAAGCAAGGACCCCAAAUAGAUCGUGGCUUACAAAAUGUAUUGCAGCAACUUUCUGUAUUGCCUUGAUAUUGCAACCGUUUAUGUAUCAAAUUGAUAUGCACAUUUUAAUAAACGGAAGAGUAGCUCCCAGUAAAUCCCGCUCUGCGGGCACCCUAUGGCCCCAAAAUGGGAUAGUAAGAUUAGCCUCUGAAAGUCAAGAGUGCUAUUAACCUUGAUUUCAAAGGGGUUCAGAUGGUGAUGAAAGCUAUGAUAUUGCUAAUUGGUAAUCGUAAUAAUCGAGGAACUACUCAUUGGAUUGGUUCUAUUAGGAAUUUCGCAAGUAUCGGUAUCUGGAGCCAGCAAGUAAUUAAGUUUGGGUUUACUUUUCUAAAAGGAUUUACUGAAUUACAAUCAAGGUAAUAAGGCAUUAUCUUCCUACACGAAAAUAGCUCUUAUCUCAAUUGGGUUGUUGCUGCAAGUAAAUAAUACUUUGUCCUCGAGCAAUUAUUUCCUGCUCUUGCCAAUAGUAUAUGCUACUCACAGUAGGCGUGACUAUGGAUUAGAUUAAUUAUGUUUGCCUUUUGUCACGUUUAAAGUGUCCUUGCCUGCUUGCUGUAUGAUAUUACACUUUUUGCUUGCAUUCCUUAUUAAAUUGAAAGAAUGU
Non-coding RNA from Rhopilema esculentum, 2492 nucleotides. The record is from RefSeq and is a predicted model, not a curated record. NCBI's taxonomy places the organism in Eukaryota, Metazoa, Cnidaria, Scyphozoa, Rhizostomeae, Rhizostomatidae.